ACAGAGGCCCCAAGCAUUAUCCGGAUUUACUGGGCGUAAAGGGUGCGUAGGCGGUUAUAUUAGUCGGGUGUUAAAUCCUGAGGCUCAACCUCAGAAUCGCAUUCGAAACGGUAUAACUAGAAGGAGUCAGAGGCAAGCAGAACUCACGGUGUAGGGGUGAAAUCCGUUGAUAUCGUGGGGAAUACCAAAUGCGAAGGCAGCUUGCUGGGACUUUCUUGACGCUGAGGCACGAAAGCGUGGGUAGCGAAUCGG
This 252-nucleotide ribosomal RNA is filed under the name uncultured bacterium. RNAcentral describes it as "partial 16S ribosomal RNA". It matches the Rfam family "Bacterial small subunit ribosomal RNA", at positions 525 to 776 of the family's 1533-position model. The record is from RNAcentral.